Molecule: ribosomal RNA, 127 nt
Filed under: uncultured bacterium
Lineage: Bacteria
Description: partial 16S ribosomal RNA
Rfam family: Bacterial small subunit ribosomal RNA
Source: RNAcentral
GCCUGAUCCAGCAAUGCCGCGUGAGUGAUGAAGGCCCUAGGGUUGUAAAGCUCUUUUACUAGGGAUGAUAAUGACAGUACCUAGAGAAUAAGCUCCGGCUAACUCCGUGCCAGCAGCCGCGGUAAUA